CACAGAGGGUGAGAAUCCCGUACGUGGUCGCUGGCUAUUGCCGUGUAAAGCCCCUUCGACGAGUCGAGUUGUUUGGGAAUGCAGCUCUAAAUGGGAGGUACAUUUCUUCUAAAGCUAAAUAUUGGCCAGAGACCGAUAGCGCACAAGUAGAGUGAUCGAAAGAUGAAAAGCACUUUGGAAAGAGAGUUAAAAAGCACGUGAAAUUGUUAAAAGGGAAGGGAUUGCAACCAGACUU
This 235-nucleotide ribosomal RNA is filed under the name uncultured eukaryote. Its description in RNAcentral is "partial Eukaryotic large subunit ribosomal RNA". It matches the Rfam family "Eukaryotic large subunit ribosomal RNA", at positions 202 to 436 of the family's 3401-position model. The record is from RNAcentral.